RNAcentral lists this ribosomal RNA (891 nucleotides) under Microbacterium sp. MCCC1A07745. RNAcentral describes it as "bacterial SSU rRNA". It matches the Rfam family "Bacterial small subunit ribosomal RNA", at positions 381 to 1283 of the family's 1533-position model. Lineage: Bacteria; Bacillati; Actinomycetota; Actinomycetes; Micrococcales; Microbacteriaceae. The record is from RNAcentral.
GCCUGAUGCAGCAACGCCGCGUGAGGGAUGACGGCCUUCGGGUUGUAAACCUCUUUUAGCAGGGAAGAAGCGAAAGUGACGGUACCUGCAGAAAAAGCGCCGGCUAACUACGUGCCAGCAGCCGCGGUAAUACGUAGGGCGCAAGCGUUAUCCGGAAUUAUUGGGCGUAAAGAGCUCGUAGGCGGUUUGUCGCGUCUGCUGUGAAAUCCCGAGGCUCAACCUCGGGCCUGCAGUGGGUACGGGCAGACUAGAGUGCGGUAGGGGAGAUUGGAAUUCCUGGUGUAGCGGUGGAAUGCGCAGAUAUCAGGAGGAACACCGAUGGCGAAGGCAGAUCUCUGGGCCGUAACUGACGCUGAGGAGCGAAAGGGUGGGGAGCAAACAGGCUUAGAUACCCUGGUAGUCCACCCCGUAAACGUUGGGAACUAGUUGUGGGGUCCAUUCCACGGAUUCCGUGACGCAGCUAACGCAUUAAGUUCCCCGCCUGGGGAGUACGGCCGCAAGGCUAAAACUCAAAGGAAUUGACGGGGACCCGCACAAGCGGCGGAGCAUGCGGAUUAAUUCGAUGCAACGCGAAGAACCUUACCAAGGCUUGACAUAUACGAGAACGGGCCAGAAAUGGUCAACUCUUUGGACACUCGUAAACAGGUGGUGCAUGGUUGUCGUCAGCUCGUGUCGUGAGAUGUUGGGUUAAGUCCCGCAACGAGCGCAACCCUCGUUCUAUGUUGCCAGCACGUAAUGGUGGGAACUCAUGGGAUACUGCCGGGGUCAACUCGGAGGAAGGUGGGGAUGACGUCAAAUCAUCAUGCCCCUUAUGUCUUGGGCUUCACGCAUGCUACAAUGGCCGGUACAAAGGGCUGCAAUACCGUGAGGUGGAGCGAAUCCCAAAAAGCC